GGUCAAGUUAUUAAGGGUGCAGGGCGGAUGCCUUGGCACUAGGAGCCGAUGAAGGACGUGAUAAGCUGCGAUAAGCUUCGGGGAGUUGCACGUAAACUUUGAUCCGAAGAUUUCCGAAUGAGGAAACUCACUUAGAGUAAUGUCUAAGUAUCAUUAAGUGAAUACAUAGCUUAAUGAGGGGAACUCAGGGAACUGAAACAUCUAAGUACCUGAAGGAAGAGAAAGAAAUUCGAUUCCGUAAGUAGCGGCGAGCGAACGCGGAUUAGCCCAAACCAAUAAAGUUUUC
RNAcentral lists this ribosomal RNA (286 nucleotides) under Clostridioides difficile. Its description in RNAcentral is "partial 23S ribosomal RNA". It matches the Rfam family "Bacterial large subunit ribosomal RNA", at positions 1 to 287 of the family's 2925-position model. The record is from RNAcentral. Lineage: Bacteria; Bacillati; Bacillota; Clostridia; Peptostreptococcales; Peptostreptococcaceae.